GACGAACGCUGGCGGCGUGCUUAACACAUGCAAGUCGAACGGAAAGGCCCUGCUUUUGUUGGGUUCUCGAUUGGCGAACGGGGGAGUAUCACGUGUGUAACAUGCCCCUGACUUUGGGAUAACUCCAGGAAACUGCGGCUAAUACCGGAUAGGAGCUCCUGCUGCGUGGUGGGGGAUGGAAAGUUUCGGCGGUUGGGGCUGGACUCGAGGCUCAUCAGCUUGUUGGUGGGGUAGUGGCUUACCAAGGCUUUGACGGGUCGCCGGCCUGCGAGGGUGACCGGCCACAAUGGGACUGAGAUACGGCCCAGACUCCUACGGGAGGCAGCAGUGGGGAAUAUUGCACAAUGGGCGGAAGCCUGUUGCAGCAGCGCCGCGUUCGGAAUGACGGCCUUCGGGUUGUAAACCGCUUUCGCAGGUGCCGAGCCGUGAUUGACGGUAAUUAGUAAAGAAGCACCGGCUAACUACGUG
Molecule: ribosomal RNA, 468 nt
Filed under: uncultured bacterium
Lineage: Bacteria
Description: partial 16S ribosomal RNA
Rfam family: Bacterial small subunit ribosomal RNA
Source: RNAcentral